This 448-nucleotide ribosomal RNA is filed under the name uncultured bacterium. RNAcentral's name for it is "bacterial SSU rRNA". It matches the Rfam family "Bacterial small subunit ribosomal RNA", at positions 44 to 518 of the family's 1533-position model. The record is from RNAcentral.
AGGCUUAACACAUGCAAGUUGAACGGGAGUUUGCUAAGUGCUUGCACGGAGCAAUGAGAGUAGCGCACGUGGUGAGUAACACGUGGGAACAUGCCUUUUGGUGGGGACAACAGAGGAAACUUCUGCUAAUACCGCAUAAGCCCGUAAGGGGGAAAGAUUAAUUGCCGAAAGAUUGGCCCGCGGAAGAUUAGGUAGUUGGUGGGGUAAAGGCCUACCAAGCCGACGAUCUAUAGCUGGUCUGAGAGGACGAACAGCCACAUUGGAACUGAGACACGGUCCAGACUCCUACGGGAGGCAGCAGUGAGGAAUAUUGGGCAAUGGAGGAAGCUCUCGACCCAGCCAUGCCGCGUGAGUGAAGAAGGUUUUCGAAUUGUAAAGCCCUUUCGGAUACGAGGAUGAUGACGGUAGUAUCUAAAGAAGCCCCGGCAAACUUCGUGCCAGCCGCCGC